This is a long non-coding RNA of Manis javanica (Malayan pangolin), 2395 nucleotides long. RefSeq lists it as uncharacterized. The record is from RefSeq and is a predicted model, not a curated record. Lineage: Eukaryota; Metazoa; Chordata; Mammalia; Pholidota; Manidae.
GCCAGCAAGACCCUUCAUCACUGGUUAUUAUCUCAGGGAAGGAAAGUCGUAGAAGAAAGUAGUGGCUGCUGAAUUGGACAGUCAAAUCCAAAGUCUUGCUCUGGAAGCGCUGCUGGGAGCAAACAGCACCAGCUUGAGAAAGGAUGAACUCUUCAGCUCCCACUUCAGACUUACCAUCCAGAAUCUGCACUUGGUCAAGAUUCUCCAGGGGAUUUGUGUCUCUGCUGAAGAGGAAUUUUAAAGGACGCUCCAACCCCCACCUGGCCCCAACCUCCCACUCUGUACAGACGAGAGGUAUAAACAUGGCAAGAUCUGAGGCUUCUGAGUGAAAGAACUGGGAUCCCUUCAUUAGCAAAACAGCAAAACCUUUGUUGCCCGAGCUUGGAGCUUGGAGAGGAGAGAUCACUGCGCCAGUGGAGCACUCCAAAGUGCACAGCACAACGUGGGCUUGGGAUAAGACAUUAAGCGCAUCCCAUCUGUUCAGCAAGUGCAGUCCGUGAGCUCCUACUGGGGGCCACAAAGAGGGCCGAACCACAGUCUGGGGCCCAGAAGCUUAAGAACAAUCACAGCAUCUCCUGGGGUCAGGGAGUGCCAAGCAGAAGUGUGGAAGCCCUCUGAUGGGGGCGUAGGUUGCAGCUGUUUUCACAGAAAGACAGGAGAAGUGGGGUGAACCCUGCCCCUGGCCUGAGUCUGAAGACUGAGAAGAAGCCAGAGCACUCCAUUCUGGAGUCGGUGUGUGUGGUUUUGGGCUCAGAGCUGGGGGGAUGGGGUCAUGGAACCAAAUAUUUCUGUAGGGAGGAUUGAUAGAACAGAAUGGAGGAGUGAAGGGGCUCAAGAAGGGAAUAAAGAAACCAGGUGAUGGGAAUGGAUGGGGAAAGGCAACGUACUCAGCAGGGGAGGUCCAUAUAGGGACCCAAAGGGCCUUAGGAGUAUCUUGAUAGGAAACCUAGGGGGCCUAGGAAGUGAGACUUCUAUCCCAGUGUGGUGUGAGUGGCUGGUGUCGGGGGACAAAGUGCCCGGUUGGCUAUGGAGUUAGCACACAUCUCCAUCCACGGAGAACUGUUCAGACCUUCACUAGGGACCAGGGGGUGUUCAUUUCAGGGAAAAGUGUGUGAGGGGGGCUGCAAGUCAAGUCCCUGGAAAUUGGACCAGUUUCUGAAAGUGAAUUGGUCAAAAUAAUAUUGAUAACGGCAAAUCUUUAUGGAAUGUGUCUCCUGUGCCAAGCACUUUUCUGAGCAUCCUGUUAACUCAUUUCAUUCCAACAGCAAACCAAGCUGAGAGGCACUCGAUGGCUCAGGAAUUAUGAAUUUCUACUAAGUAUCAGGCACUGUACCAAGUGUUGUGGAUGCCACAGUGAGCAACACAGAGACUUCAUUGCCCUGCUGGAGACCACAUUCUAGUGGGGGCUUUGGCGGAGAUCAUAACCAGUGUAAGAAAACCACACACUCUGCUGAUAGUGGUGAAUGCUAUGGAGAAAGGCAGAGGUGGGAAUAAAGACAGACUGAGGAAGGGAGAGUGACAGAAGUCUAAGAAGUAGUUACUAUUAUUUUCACCAUUUUACAGGUGAGGAAAAGCUAAACAUCAAUGAAUUCUCUGAAAACUGUCCAUUAAAUGCUUUAAAUUAAAUAUUGGGCGAUUCUGGGGAGCUGUCUUGCUACAGAAUCGGAGGUAGAGUCUGUUCUUAACUUUAAGUGGAUUAAAAAUGUUUUGGUAAAGAGAAACACUCCUUAUUGUCUGUACUGAUCCUUGACAUAUAAGGCAAGACAGCAGGUGUGGCGCCCUGCCCUCUCGCUUUCCAGAGCAGUGGGGCUUUCAGCACCACACCCCUCUGAGUCCAGCAGUUGGUAUGCGUGUGUGCGUGUGUGUGUGCGUGUUUCCAGAUGGGGGAAGAGGACUGGAGUUGGUGGAGGGUAGGGUCAGAGGGAGAGCCUGUGCAGGGGGAUCUUCAUUUUCAGAAAGCUCCCAGAUGAUUCUGCAGUGGCUGGCCCAGGCCACAGGAAGAACAGCCACCACUCACUGAACAUCCACUGCGGGCCAGCCCUUUGAUAUGGUGGCAGAAUGAAUGGCGCCCUGAGAGCAGCUGGGAGGAAACUUAGGGGGCUGUCACUGGGCGGCAGGGAAGGUCUGGCUUUGCUGAGUUGGAUGGAGAAGCCAAAAACAGGGGUGGAGUAUCCAGGGAUUCAGAGGGAGGGGGCAGAAGGGGCACAGACAUGGCAAAGGAGUGGGAAGAAGACUUAAGUGAGGGAGGGUUAUAUAGUAGGAACAUUUCAGUAGACUUUGCUGUCAUAGUCCAACUCUCCAUCCUGUUCCUAAUCCACAAUAAAAUCUACAUUACUCACCAAAGCUUGGGAGAUUUUUUUCAACUUUACUUAUAGAGUAUUUCAAAUAUAUACAA